This 529-nucleotide ribosomal RNA is filed under the name uncultured Dictyostelium. Its description in RNAcentral is "bacterial SSU rRNA". It matches the Rfam family "Eukaryotic small subunit ribosomal RNA", at positions 356 to 891 of the family's 1831-position model. Lineage: Eukaryota; Evosea; Eumycetozoa; Dictyosteliales; Dictyosteliaceae. The record is from RNAcentral.
CGGGUAACGGGGAAUUAGGGUUCGAUUCCGGAGAGGGAGCCUGAGAAAUGGCUACCACUUCUACGGAAGGCAGCAGGCGCGCAAAUUACUCAAUCCCAAUACGGGGAAGUAGUGACAAUAAAUAUCAAUACCUAUCCUUUUUGGAGGGCAAUUGAAAUGAACACAAAUUAAAACUCUUAAUUAACACAAUUGGAGGGCAAGUCUGGUGCCAGCAGCCGCGGUAAUUCCAGCUCCAAUAGCAUAUACUAAAGUUGUUGCAGUUAAAAAGCUCGUAGUUGAAGUUAAAGUUAUAUUGGGCUAAAGUUUAUUACCACUCUGGUGGUUAAUAUAACUCCAAUAUUUCUUUUUUUAAUAGCUCAGUUUCUAGGUCUUUGACUCUAGUUAUUUGGGCAUUUCACUGUGAGAAAAUUGUGGUGUUUAAAGCAGGCGUCUCGUCUGAUCUUUUGCAGCAUGGUAUGAUGGAACAUGACAUUUUACGCUAUUGGUUUGCGUCUAAAGUGUAAUGAUUAAUAGGGAUGGAUGGGGAUGU